CCGCCGGCUUCUCUUGCACCCAGCUCCUCCUCCCCGUGCCUUCCUUCCUCCCGUCUCGUUCUCCAAUCAUCGACUUCCCUGUCCAGUCAAGGCGCUCGGAGGUAGUACCGGGGCAAGUACCACCGGUGCGACGUCCAGGCCGGCCCACACCGUCCGGGGGUUCCGUGCUCGGCUAGACCUGACGAUCUAGCUGCCGGAUCCACCGCGGCAGCAACGCCGGCUGCUACCUCCUCUCCGACCCCGACCACCACACCACCUCAACUCCAGCGCGAGACCCUCUACUCUAUCCAUCCUUUCCGUCCACGGCCAGAACCAGCAAUCCUGCUGCCGGAUCGGUGGCGGCGGUUCCUCAUGGUGGCGUCCCCUGCCAUCUCGCUUCAGCCUCCUCCCGACGACGCGCCGGGGGGCUGGGUCCAGGGCCGGCCCUUGGCCAUGGCAAUGAGUGCAGCCGCCUAGGGCCCAGGUCAAGCAGGGGGCCAUACUGCCCUACUUCAUGUAUACACGUAUGAGUAGAAGAAAAGGACCCCAGCCUUUUGUUCUUCCAUCUUAAAAGUAUCCUAAGGAGACUGAUGAAGCAGCACAUUCGGUGAUUGGCCAGUGAGGCGUUGACAGCAGCCCACGUCCACAGGUUAGUUGUUUCUCUUCUGGAUUGCCCAUCUUUCCUUGUUGAUUGCGAAUUUUGUGAAAGAUUUCUUUGCAUGAAAUUGUUGCACAAGUUGUUGCCUCAUAUUAAUGGUGAUCAAGUAUCAUCAAAUCAGCACAUGAUGAUUAGAUACUGCUUUGUUAUUAUGUUGUGGGAUUGCUCUGUAGCUACUUGCAUAGAAGGCGUCUGUGCUUUUGUCCAAAACUGCUAUCUGUAGGCACGUCGUAAAAUAUGCCUGCGGCGGUGCUUGCGAAGACCUGCGUGUCCGUCAGGCCCACUAAACCUAACUUGCACUAGGGCUUCCGAAAUGUUAGGGCCGGCCCUGG
Non-coding RNA from Aegilops tauschii subsp. strangulata, 969 nucleotides. Lineage: Eukaryota; Viridiplantae; Streptophyta; Magnoliopsida; Poales; Poaceae. The record is from RefSeq and is a predicted model, not a curated record.